Non-coding RNA from Thamnophis sirtalis, 527 nucleotides. The record is from the annotation of a RefSeq genome assembly. Lineage: Eukaryota; Metazoa; Chordata; Lepidosauria; Squamata; Natricidae.
UCAGUUCCAUCUCUAUCAUUAGAGGAGCUGAAAUGAUCUUCUGGCUAAGCUUGGGGUCCUUACUAGCAGUUCUCAGAGGUGUCCAGUCACAAGCCCAGAUGGUGGAGUCUGGAGGGGAUUUGAGAAGACCUGGGGAGUCCCUUCGUCUCUCCUGCCUAGCCUCUGGAUUCACCUUCAGCAGCCAUGGGAUGAACUGGGUGAUACAGGCUCCUGGGAAAGGACUGGAAUGGAUGGCACAUAUAAGCCCCGGUUCCAGUCCUAUUUACUACUCGGACAAAGUCAAGGGACGCUUCACCAUCUCCAGGGACGAUGCCAGAAGCCAGCUGUAUCUGCAAAUGAACAGCCUCAAAGCUGAAGACACAGCUGUCUAUUACUGUGCUGCAGACACAGUGAGAGGAAGUGAAUCUGAAGCCAGACAAGAACCUUUCCUCCCUCAGAGCGGAUCUCCAAGUGGAUUCAGUUUCAGAAAGUUGAAUUGGAGUAUUGCAACAGAGGAGCAGCUGAUCGAUCUACAUCAUAACAGUUGA